UACAGGGGGGGCAAGCGUUGUUCGGAAUUACUGGGCGUAAAGGGCGCGUAGGCGGCCAACUAAGUCACACGUGAAAUCCCCAGGCUUAACCUGGGAACUGCGUGUGAUACUGGAUGGCUUGAAUUCGGGAGAGGGAUGCGGAAUUCCAGGUGUAGCGGUGAAAUGCGUAGAUAUCUGGAGGAACACCGGUGGCGAAGGCGGCAUCCUGGACCGACAUUGACGCUGAGGCGCGAAAGCUAGGGGAGCAAACGGG
Molecule: ribosomal RNA, 253 nt
Filed under: uncultured bacterium
Lineage: Bacteria
Description: partial 16S ribosomal RNA
Rfam family: Bacterial small subunit ribosomal RNA
Source: RNAcentral